This 456-nucleotide ribosomal RNA is filed under the name uncultured bacterium. RNAcentral's name for it is "bacterial SSU rRNA". It matches the Rfam family "Bacterial small subunit ribosomal RNA", at positions 29 to 531 of the family's 1533-position model. The record is from RNAcentral.
AACGAACGCUGGCGGCAGGCUUAACACAUGCAAGUCGAACGCCCCGCAAGGGAGUGGCAGACGGGUGAGUAACGCGUGGGAACGUACCUUUCAGUUCGGAAUAACUCAGGGAAACUUGUGCUAAUACCGGAUACGCCCGCAAGGGGAAAGAUUUAUCGCUGAAAGAUCGGCCCGCGUUGGAUUAGCUAGUUGGUGGGGUAAAGGCCUACCAAGGCGACGAUCCAUAGCUGGUCUGAGAGGAUGAUCAGCCACACUGGGACUGAGACACGGCCCAGACUCCUACGGGAGGCAGCAGUGGGGAAUAUUGGACAAUGGGCGCAAGCCUGAUCCAGCCAUGCCGCGUGUGUGAUGAAGGCCUUAGGGUUGUAAAGCACUUUCACCGAUGAAGAUAAUGACGGUAGUCGGAGAAGAAGCCCCGGCUAACUUCGUGCCAGCAGCCGCGGUAAUGUCUGUACU